UACGUAGGCACCAAGCGUUGUUCGGAAUUACUGGGCGUAAAGCGAGUGUAGGCGGUCUGCCAAGUCGGUUGUGAAAUCUCCCGGCUUAACUGGGAGGGUGCGACUGAAACUGGCAGGCUAGAGUGCGGGAGAGGAGAGUGGAAUUCCUGGUGUAGCGGUGAAAUGCGUAGAUAUCAGGAGGAACACCGGUGGUGAAGACGGCUCUCUGGACCGCUACUGACGCUGAGACUCGAAAGCGUGGGGAGCAAAC
Molecule: ribosomal RNA, 250 nt
Filed under: uncultured bacterium
Lineage: Bacteria
Description: partial 16S ribosomal RNA
Rfam family: Bacterial small subunit ribosomal RNA
Source: RNAcentral